Long non-coding RNA from Cajanus cajan (pigeon pea), 946 nucleotides. RefSeq lists it as uncharacterized. Lineage: Eukaryota; Viridiplantae; Streptophyta; Magnoliopsida; Fabales; Fabaceae. The record is from RefSeq and is a predicted model, not a curated record.
CACUUGCUUAGUCUUUGACCAAAUUUGAUUUAUUUGUUGGGCCAAACUAUGGUCCAUUUUGUGACUUUAGUAUAAAUAAAGGCAUCAAAGUGAUCCUCACACUCAUGAAGAAAAAUAUUGAGUGUUGUUAGCAUCAAAAGAAUGUUAGACAGUGCCAACCUUCAAGCAUAAUGUGGUUGUUCCUGAGAGAACUCGUGAUUUACUUUUCCUUUAUUUCCUAAAUGUAAAUAUGAAGUACAUAGAGCUUGAUCUUUUAGAAGAUUACAUGAACAAUAGUGUUCAUUAACAAAAAGAUGAUCUCGACAAGGAUGCAUUUGGUCGUCACAAUGUCAAAGUGGAUGUGGUCAGUGUCCGUGAUUGGUUUGAACAAGAAAUUGAUUUUGUUGUCAAUUGGUGCUAGGCUUCAAACAGUGUGGAGUUUCAAGGGGAAAGGAAUACUAAAAACAAUCCUUCUUUGAACAAAAUGGUUUGGAAAAGUAUUGGAGACUUAAAUUUAAAGGGUUCCACCAUUCAAUUGAAAGUUAAAUGCUAUUGACAUCCAGAGAGCCAAUGACUACUUUACUUCGGAAUCAACUUCUUGAUCAAACCAUUUAUGAACAUUGGCUGCAAUCACUUAGUCAUUAUGCCCACCCCCUUUAUCCUCAUUAGGUUCAUCUUCUUGUUGAUGAAUGUCAAUGUUUGUAUAAUCUUCUAAGAGUUCAAGCUCAAAGUACUUCAUGCUUACCAUAGUGGGAGGGUCAAUCACUUAGUCAUUAUGCCCACCCUCUUUUUUACUCUUUUAUGCCAACAACAAUCAAUGUUUCUUAUCAUAGUGGGAGGGACACCCCUAUGUCUAUAGUUAUACUCAAAUAUCAAAAUUUACAAGUCUAAACUUGUAAUUAUGGAGAAUUUCUGUAGUUGAAGUGUCAAACAAAAAAUGAGAUUUUAUAAUAGAUUAAGCAAGUGU